UCUGACAUGCCACCUCGAGAUUUUAACCAAGGAAAGACAAGUUGAUGUGCUUUGAUUUGAGGGGUCACUCACUACCGAACGAAAAUUAGGGACAUCGCUAUGAGAAGAAACGUUAACAUUGUCGCCUAUGGGAAAACAAUUAGUGGACUGUACCCAUAUUAGGAAGCCUAUAAGUUCAUGGUGAUUGGUACAGGAAAAACAUGAGGUCCAUGCAGAUGGUGUUUAAAACUAUUGGCCAGCAAAUGCACACCCAUUUGAAUACAUCUUGAAAAAGAACCAGCAAAAUGUGACAGUCGGCAAAAUAUAGGUUCCCGCAGACAGACACAUUUGCCGGAAACCGAAUCUGACAUGCCACCUCGAGAUUUUAACCAAGGAAAGACAAGUUGAUGUGCUUUGAUUUGAGGGGUCACUCACUACCGAACGAAAAUUAGGGACAUCGCUAUGAGAAGAAACGUUAACAUUGUCGCCUAUGGGAAA
Saccostrea cuccullata (small rock oyster) is the source of this 477-nucleotide long non-coding RNA. RefSeq lists it as uncharacterized. NCBI's taxonomy places the organism in Eukaryota, Metazoa, Mollusca, Bivalvia, Ostreida, Ostreidae. The transcript is spliced from 3 exons. The record is from RefSeq and is a predicted model, not a curated record.